GCAGCCGCGGUAAUUCCAGCUCCAAUAGCGUAUAUUAAAGUUGUUGCAGUUAAAAAGCUCGUAGUUGAAUUUCGGGAUCAAUAUAUCGGUCGUGCUUCGGUAUGUACUGGUAUUAUUGAUUUCUCCCUUCUGACGAACUAUGAUGUCAUUAAUUUGGUGUUAUGGGGAAUCAGGACUGUUACUUUGAAAAAAUUAGAGUGUUUAAAGCAGGCACACGCUUGAAUACAUUAGCAUGGAAUAAUGAAAUAGGACGUUUGAUCUUAUUUUGUUGGUUUCUAGGAUCGACGUAAUGAUUAAUAGGGAUAGUUGGG
RNAcentral lists this ribosomal RNA (311 nucleotides) under uncultured Glomus. Its description in RNAcentral is "SSU rRNA". It matches the Rfam family "Eukaryotic small subunit ribosomal RNA", at positions 570 to 886 of the family's 1831-position model. The record is from RNAcentral. Lineage: Eukaryota; Fungi; Glomeromycota; Glomeromycetes; Glomerales; Glomeraceae.